RNAcentral lists this ribosomal RNA (1605 nucleotides) under Nycticryphes semicollaris. RNAcentral's name for it is "16S ribosomal RNA". It matches the Rfam family "Bacterial large subunit ribosomal RNA". The record is from RNAcentral. Lineage: Eukaryota; Metazoa; Chordata; Aves; Charadriiformes; Rostratulidae.
AGCCCGCCCUAGCCCAACCUACAUAUUACCCACCCUACAAUUAAAAACUUACUUUGCACUCAAACUAAACCAUUCUUUUAACUUAGUAUAGGCGAUAGAAAAGAAUAAUCCUUGGCGCAAUAGAGACUCGUACCGUAAGGGAAAGAUGAAAUAAUAAUGAAAAUUAAAGCUAUAAAAAGCAAAGAUAAAACCUUGUACCUUUUGCAUCAUGAUUUAGCAAGAAUAACCAAGCAAAGCGAACUUAAGUUUGCCCUCCCGAAACUCAAGCGAGCUACUUGCAAGCAGCUAUUUAUGAGCGAACCCGUCUCUGUCGCAAAAGAGUGGGAUGACUAGCUAGUAGAGGUGAAAAGCCAAUCGAGCUGAGUGAUAGCUGGUUGCCUGUAAAACGAAUCUAAGUUCUCUCUUGAUCUCUCCUCCCGGACACCCAAACCAACCCCAAUGUAGAAGACCAAGAGCAAUUUAAAGGAGGUACAGCUCCUUUAAAAAAGAAAACAACCUCCACCAGCGGAUAACUAUGCCUACCCAUUACUUAAACUGUGGGCCUUCAAGCAGCCAUCAACAAAGAAUGCGUCAUAGCUCCAUGUAUAUGUAAAAAUCUAAUAACAAAAUGACUCCCUCCUUAAACCACAGGCCAACCUAUAACAAUAGGUGAACUAAUGCUAGAAUGAGUAACCUGGGAUUCUCCCUCUUAAGCGCAAACUUACAUCUCCACAUUAUUAACAGACCACAAACUUAUAUCUCAACUCCCAACAAGAUUAAAAUAUUCACGUACCCUGUUACCCCAACCCUGGAGCGCAAAUUAGAAAGAUUAAAAUCUGUAAAAGGAACUAGGCAAACCCAAGGCCCGACUGUUUACCAAAAACAUAGCCUUCAGCCAACCAAGUAUUGAAGGUGAUGCCUGCCCAGUGACAUAACGUUUAACGGCCGCGGUAUCCUAACCGUGCGAAGGUAGCGCAAUCAAUUGUCCCAUAAAUCGAGACUUGUAUGAAUGGCUAAACGAGGUCUUAACUGUCUUUUACAGAUAAUCAGUGAAAUUGAUCUUCCCGUGCAAAAGCAGGAAUAACUACAUAAGACGAGAAGACCCUGUGGCACUUAAAAAUCAUUGGCCACCACGCACACAUACAAACCUAUUUAAGGCUCACUAAACUACAAAUGUUGGCCUACAUUUUUCGGUUGGGGCGACCUUGGAGAAAAACAAAUCCUCCAAAAAUAAGACCACACCUCUUAACCAAGAACCACCCCUCAACGUACCAACAGUAACCAGACCCAAUACAAUUGAUCAAUGGACCAAGCUACCCCAGGGAUAACAGCGCAAUCCCCUCCAAGAGCCCACAUCGACGAAGGGGUUUACGACCUCGAUGUUGGAUCAGGACAUCCUAAUGGUGCAGCCGCUAUUAAGGGUUCGUUUGUUCAACGAUUAACAGUCCUACGUGAUCUGAGUUCAGACCGGAGCAAUCCAGGUCGGUUUCUAUCUAUGAUUGAACUUUCCCUAGUACGAAAGGACCGGGAAAGUAGGGCCAAUACUACAAGCACGCCCUCUACCCUAAGUAAUGAACCCAACUAAAUUACUAAGGAGCCCCAUACUACAGUCCUAGAAAAGGCCCA